Molecule: ribosomal RNA, 497 nt
Filed under: uncultured bacterium
Lineage: Bacteria
Description: partial 16S ribosomal RNA
Rfam family: Bacterial small subunit ribosomal RNA
Source: RNAcentral
GAUGAACGCUGGCGGCGUGCCUAAUACAUGCAAGUCGAGCGAACGGACGAGAAGCUUGCUUUUCUGAUGUUAGCGGCGGACGGGUGAGUAACACGUGGAUAACCUACCUAUAAGACUGGGAUAACUUCGGGAAACCGGAGCUAAUACCGGAUAAUAUUUUGAACCGCAUGGUUCAAAAGUGAAAGACGGUCUUGCUGUCACUUAUAGAUGGAUCCGCGCUGCAUUAGCUAGUUGGUAAGGUAACGGCUUACCAAGGCAACGAUGCAUAGCCGACCUGAGAGGGUGAUCGGCCACACUGGAACUGAGACACGGUCCAGACUCCUACGGGAGGCAGCAGUAGAGAAUCUUACGCAAUGGGCGAAAGCCUGACGGAGCAACGCCGAGUGAGUGAUGAAGGUCUUCGGAUCGUAAAACUCUGUUAUUAGGGAAGAACAUAUGUGUAAGUAACUGUGCACAUCUUGACGGUAGCUAAUCAGAAAGCCACGGCUAACUACGUG